Mus musculus (house mouse) is the source of this 12975-nucleotide long non-coding RNA. RefSeq annotates it as predicted gene 44758. Lineage: Eukaryota; Metazoa; Chordata; Mammalia; Rodentia; Muridae. The record is from RefSeq and is a predicted model, not a curated record. The transcript is spliced from 2 exons.
CACAACUCCUUGGUGGGGGGACAGCCGACCGGUCUCACUCCCGGGCCUCCCUGCGCCAGUCGGGGCCCCAGUUCACCAGCCUCCUUGGGGACCCAGAUUCCCAUUUCUACGAGUCUUUGUCCCGAGCCCCGUGGAGGGAGAGAUAGGUGUCAGUGGAAACCUAGAGGUGAGGGAACCCCUGUCCGAGCUCCGAAGGGCAGGAGCGGGUAGGGAGGUCUGCAGAGCCUGGGAUGCCUCUCAGUCCCUCUUACUCCCCGCGAGAAAUCGGGUUCCCUGAACGCCUCUUGGGUGCUCCAGAGGAGGCUCGGACUGGGCACCAGGCGCACUUUCUCCAGCUCCUCGCCCACCAGUUUGCAAAACCUGUUGGUAGCCCAGGGGUGGAGCUGGGGGCGCUGGGGAGGUCCCAGACGAGUCCUCGACCGCCCUGUCCCGCCCCCACUCUGGCCCACGCGGGAAAACCCACGGACACAGGCUCAGACGUGCUAAUUCCUGUUUGAUAACAUUCUGCGUCGCCCCCCUGUUUGUUUUUAUUGUGCCAGAAAGCGAGAGAAUUUCAGAAUUAAAGCUGAAAAAGCCCAUCUGUUUCCAAUGAAUCCCCCAUAGUUUUUCACAAUGUUUUUGGCAGAUCGCUGCUUUCAAAUUCCUCCGAGCCCGGACCUCUUGUUUUUGUUGGGGGAAGGGAGACCAACUCCACAGAGAAGCGUUUGUUCCUUCCCAAACGCUCCGGUUUCUUUACUUUUUUCCCCUUUGGGGGGAGGGGGAAUGAACGAAGCUUAAAUCCCCGGUCUGUUUUCUUUAUAAUGUUUCGUAAAAUUUUUAUUUCAUGCUGCUCAGAGUCAGAGAAGGCCAGUUAAACGCCUUUCACCCGUUUCUCUCUUUUUUAAAUACAAAUAAACAGUGUCACGACCAAAUGGUCCUCUGUGUAAGGCGGGAUCUCCUGGCCGUUUCCAUUGUGUUGUGGGGUUCAGAAGUGUCUUUGAGCAAAAAAAACUCCAGCCUGUCUCACAGCGCGGCCAGAUGUGGUUGUGCCGCCUCUGCGCAGCUGAGAUUUGCAAGAAAGAACUUGAGUUAGGACAGAGAUUGAGUUGUUUUGAUUUCCUCUUCAGCCAACUGAGUUUCAAGGAACUAACAGAACAGGGCAGUCAGUCCAGGGUAGGCCUGGUUGCAAGUUGGCAUUCCCAGGGAGCACAGAACAGAGACAACAAGCACUAUUGGGCUCUUUCCUGAAGAGAUAGAUCCCUUGCACCGGAGCAGAAAGGAGGAGGGGUGUCAGCAUCUUCCGAGAGCCUCCAUAUCCAAUAAACCAUGGAAAUAUCAGAACCACAGAGUUCCAGCAGGAGGGAUGACCCCCCACCCCCAACUCUCAUGUUUUUGAGACCCAAGUUUCUCCAUCUACAUCAGUAGGAUGCUCAGCCUUCCUACUGCCCUGACCCUUUACUCUGCUUCCUCAUGGUAUGGGUGAUCCUCUAACCAUAAGGUUAUUUUCGUUACUACUUCAUAACCAUAUUUUUGUUAUGAAUUGUGAUGUAAGUAUCUGUGUUUCCUGAUGGUCUUAGGCCACCCCUGUGGAAGGAUAGCUGGACCCCAGAGGGGUCGAGACCCACAGGUUGAGAACCGCUUAUCUAAAUGUCCUAUUAAAAAAAAAAAACAAAACUGAUCUUAUUCCUUCCCAAAGAGUUAAAAUAAUAAAGUACAAACCAUUGGAAAGUAAAAAAGAAUGUCAAAGAAGCAGUAGCUUGCACUUGUGUUCAUCUUGGUUUGGUCUGGAUAAAGAUCCAGCCCAUUGGAAGUUUUAUCAGAUAGGUUGAUAAAUGGCUUUUGUCCUUUGGCUGCAUUGGGGGAUGUGAUCUCAGCUCUGAGCUGAAAUUGAGAAGGGGGGCUCCCAGGGCUCUUAAAACAACACCUCCUGCUCUUAAAGCUACAGCACUCAUUAUUCUCUGAGGCUAGAGGGCAAGGAAAGGAGAGAGCUUGCAAGGGCUAGGAGGGCUCAGGGGCGGGGUGUGAUAUCUUCCUGUUCAUUUCUUUGUCUUAAAAACUUAUCUGCAUAGUCGGAGGCACACUGAUGGGCUAUAUAAUUCACAACUCAAAUUCCGCCACUUUCGCGUCCAAGAAACCCAUUUCUUUUUGGCUUCAAGGCUGGUAACCAAAUCCUGGCAGAUGCAGCUGAUAGCUGAGUUGUGUCUUGCCAACUGGCUAAGGUUGCCCCUUCUGGGAAGCCUUUGACAGUUGCAUCUGGUCAAAACUGCCUACCUUUGUGAAAACUGAGCUGCCGGUCACCAAGGACCAAAUACACUGAGGCCGGCCUUGAGGAAUGUGGGUGCUCAGGAAACCUGGAUCAGAAAGACAGUUUCCGACGUGGGGAAGAGCUAGAUGUGUAAUUUCCAGUGCAGAGAUGGACUGUCAUGCUCUGACAUGUUGGUCCAGCAAACAGGAUGCCCCAGAAUAAAGAGGUGAAACAGCCUCUGGUUCUGGUAGGCAGUGAGUGGACAUUCGGGACAAAAAGAAAGCCGUGGCCUCACCCCCCCAAAACAGGUGGAAACUGGCCGAGCAGCCCUGUGAAAGCCUAGGUUUGUUCAGAGCUUGCCUACUUGAAUGGCUGCCAGCUGUAAGCAGGGGUGCAAAUUAAAUUGGACAUAGUUAUGUGAAGAAAGAUGCCUUCACUCUGCCAGACUGAGAGUGUUUGUGUGUUUUGAGUGUUUACGUGUACUUACUCAACAUCAGUAGCUGACUUCCCAAGUCCCUGCCUCAGUACAGCCUUCAUUUUUUUUAAAGAUAUAUUUAUUUACUUUAUGUAUAUGAGUACACUGUAGCUGUCUUCAGCUACACCAGAAGAGGGCAUCCAUUACAGAUAGCUGUGAGCCACCAUAUGGUCGCUGGGAAUUGAACUCAGGACCCUCUGGAAGAGCAGUCAGUGCUCUUAACCACUGAGCCAUCUCUCCAGCCCUCAGUACAGCCUUCUGAUGGAGGCCUUCAGCUUGUUGAAGAGAGAAUGGCUGAAGGAGUGAAUACUGUUCUGGGAUAGAGGAUGGGGCAGUCGCUGCAUCUACCCGAGGUGGGGGUGGGGCAAGAGGAGAGGCCGGAAAAAACUUCUUAAAAGAGUUCUCCACAAAUAGCAUCUCCUUCAGCACACAGUAAAUAGAUACAUUUUAAGCUGUGAGACCAUUGUGACUUAUUCAAACAGACUUCUAAGCUAAACCCAUCCAAGGCCUGGGGGGGGGGGGGCGGGGGGCGUGCCUGAUGGCAUGCUUUAUUUGAGGGCUAGUUCUAAGAGAGCUUCAAUGCAGCCUCUCUUGUUUCUUUCCCUAAUAGGUUUUUUUUAAAUCUUCAUUUACUUUUAUUUGUGUGUAUGUGUGUAUAUCUGCAUGUUUGCAUGUGUGCCACAUGUAUGCAGUGCUCAGAGAGGCCAGAAGAGAACAUGAGUGCCACAAGAACAGGAGUUACUUGGUUUUGUGAACUGCCCUGUGUGGGUGCUGGGAACUGAUCCCGGUCCUCUGCUACUGAUCCCGGUCCUCUGCUAGAGCGGCAAGUGCUCCUAACUGCUCAGCCUGCCCUUUAGCCCACCCCUUAGGCCUUUGAACUCUACCUGUUGUAGAAGUAUUAGUUUUCAAGUGCAGAAACUGAGGCUUAGAGAAACUAAGGUUCACUCAAGUAUCUAAAUAUAUGUGCACGGCCAUAGAGAUGAGACCGUUUCUAUCAGAACUGCUAUUUAAGAAUGUGUAACUUGAGCUGGGCGCACGCCUUUAAUCCCAGCACUUGGGAGGCAGAGGGAUUUCUGAGUUCGAGGCCAGCCUGGUCUACAGACUGGGUUCCAGGACAGCCAGGACUGCACAGAGAACCCUGUCUUGGGGAAAAAACAAGCACAAAACAAAAACAAACAAAAGGGAAGAAUGUAACUUGUAAGCCUGCUUCUUAGAUAUAGUUAUUGGGCCUCUUAGUUGGAUUUUGGGUUCCAAAAGGAGUUUCCGUUGCUAUCACAAAAUACCGUAGAUUUAGAGGGUUACAGACAACAGAAAUUUGUUGAUUAUAGCUGUGGAGGCUAGAAAAUCAGAGACUGGGGAACCAGCCACUGUAGAAUCUGGUGAGAGGACCUUUCUAGUCUGAGUGUCUUGUGCCUUGUUACUAGGUCCCUCCAAGGCAGAAAGGAAUGGAAAACUGGCUUUCUGGGCUCCGUUCCAUGAGGGCUCUACUCCCAUGAUAUUAACACUUCCAAAAGUCCUGGAUCCUGUUCAUAAUACCAUCGCUUUGAGGAUUAGAUUUUAGCCUAUGAGUUGGUGGGGGAGUGGGGGGAGUGCAGAAGAGGGGAGAAAAGGAUGUUCAGUUACAAGAGGUAGGUAGGUGACUAGCAGCCAGGGAGUAGCGAGCAGAGAGUACAGAUAACUCCUAGAGUCCCCAUGGCCCCUUAGGCUCCGAGGGUGACCUGGAGAGAAAAGGGGAAGUUCUCUGGUUUUCUGGGGAAGGGGAGUCUCUGGAAGGUUGGAAGAAUUUCUAGUAGUCACCCUGCUGCCCAAAAGAGGGGUUGUCCAGAAAGUGGAAGGGUAAGGGAAGCUACCCAGUGUCACAAGUAAGGCUGAGAUGGGAGAGAGGAGACGGGGGUCUGAAGAGGCAAGAGUAAGGUUGAGGACCUGUUCAUGUGUUGGAAGGGACUGUAGUUCCCGCUAAAGGUCCUGCCUUUCCCAGACUGUGCAAGGCCUGUUUUCCAGCUUCAGUACCAGCCUAGUGCUGUACUAUUUUGCCACUGGGCUGAGAUGUACCCUGAAGGCUUUAUUUUCCUUGAAUGGCCCACUCAUCCAAUUUGCCCAAGAUUUUCCAAGUUUUCAAACUGAAAGUCAGGACUCUCCACAUGUCUCCUGGGUCCCAGGCACACCAGGAUGUGGGCUCCCUGGUUGCAUCCCCACCCCACCUGGAUCUGGGACCCCGUUGCCCAAGAACAUGAAGUCUUCCCUGCAAAACGGUCUCCAUGUAGUCCUAUGGCCUAGAGCUUGGAGUCCUCUGCCUUUUUCUGCACUUUUCUGUUGCCACGUUGUAACCACCGGGGCUGCCUUGGUAUCUUACUCCAAUCCCAUCCCUGAUGGACCACACUCAGAAUCUGGAGGUCCUUGUUUGCAGCGUCCAGGAGGGGCAUCUCUGAUUUCUAGACCAAACCUCAUUCCGAAAGGAUCCAGCACAUCCCAGCCCCUUCCUCUUCAUAUUCUACCCCCUUUCCCCAUGGGAUGCUCUAUGCCUUGUCUUGUGCCACCCAGUUCUGGGUUGAACACUCACAUCCCCUGUCCCUGCCUACUUGACCAAAUUCUAAAUUCAAUGCAUGCAGUCCAUGUAGACUUUUGGUUCCCAAGGCUCAUGGGUCUUGGGUUUCUGUCUUCUCAGCCUCUAAUUCUAUAUGUUAAGGAUGGGAGCCUAUUUUCUGCCCUUUUCUUCCCUCCUCCCCCACACUCCCAAGCUUGUUCAUCAUAGUCCUGGAAGCUACAAAGCCAUUAGGGUUUUUUUUUUGGGGGGGGGGUUAAUUUCUUUUGAUUCUGGCUUUUGUUUCCACAGGACUACCUCUGGCCUAAACACCCCAUAUCUCCCCCAAAUACUGUUUCUGAUUAUAAAAGCAGUAGACAUUUUAAAAAGCCAAAGACCAAAAAAGAUUUUUUUAAAAGCACUCAAAAAGUUGUCCUCUCACCAACUCCUAGUUAGCAUUUAACAGUGUCCUUCCAAACAUAGUACCUUCACACUUUCCCAGAUACGGCUGCGGGGAGGAGAAUAAUAAUCUUAAGAGUUCUUCAGUGGAUUGCAUGGCCACAGAGAACCAAGAGCUUCCAGUCGCCCAGUUAAUUUGACUGAGUGUCCUCAGGAACCAUCAUUCCUGAUGAGGAGGCAGAGCUGGAGGAGGCGUUACACACAGCCAGUUACCCAGCAGUGCCCAGUGGCAGAUGCCAGACUCCUGCCCUUUGCAGAUUUUGGAUAAACACGGUUGUUAAAUUUGCUGUAUAGCCUGUUGAAGCUCUGCUGUUGAGCUGGUGAGCCUUAAGAUGUGGGUUGGGGGAAGGGAAUGCUGGGGCAAGAAAGAACUGUGGGACUGUGAUCCUGGGCAACCGUAUGAAGAGUGGCCUCCCAGUUCCCACAGUGCAUUGCAGUGCUUUCUCAGCCCCCAAAGGCCUUUCCUGUCCUUUCUGGUCCUCUAACUUUGGUUUCCAAGAUGGAAACCUGGUCAGGGGGACAAGGCUGAGAGCAAAAGGGAGCUUUGGGGCACUGUCACGGGGCAGGGAGACAUGCCAGCAGGGGUUCAGUGAUGACUCCUGACCUGUUUCACUCAUGCUAGGACACCUAGACACUUACUACAGGGCCAUUCUACAUAGAAAGGAGUUCAGCGUUGUGCCUCCCACCUGGAUACCAGCCUGGCAUGCGCUCUUCCAGUACCUGCAGACUGCAGGGAGGGAGACAGUGUGCCUCUGUGGUGGGUUUUUGUUUCUUUUUUUCUUUUCUUCUCCUCAGAGGUGUUUUGACCUGCCGCUGAGCACAAAAGCCUAGAUGGCUGGAAGCAAAGUCCUGACUAUAAAGCUGUCACCUCAGGUGUGAGCCUGGAGUUAGUAACAGGGGUCAUGCUUCAACCAGAACCACCACAGCUCUCACCUGCAGCUUCAUUGUCCUGGGAAAACCUUUCUUACCUCCCUUACCACUCGUGCCCAGGGCUGUUUUAUUUCUCCCCCAAAGCAGGAUGUUCCUGGGGUGAGGACCUUGUCCCUUUGCUUGACCCCCUAUGGGCCCGUUACCCAGGCGUGCUCUCAGCCUUCGGUUGAUAGGCAGCCUAUGCCCUCCCACUAUAGGGCGGAGUCAGGGCUUUCCACGCCCACCCUUCUUGCUCAAGCGCUGUUUCUCCACGGCUCCUGUGGGAGCUGGGGAGGGUGGCCUGUUUGGAAAGCUGAGGUGUGCCCUUCUCCUUGGCAGUCAGUCAUCAAGGGUGCUUGCAACAACUUGGCAUGUGUGGAGGCUGAGGCAGGGCAGCCUUGGCAGGGUGUGACGGAGGAGGCAGUACUGUCCUGCCCCCGGCUCUAGGAGUGGCACUUAGCCACUUCUGUCCACGCUGGGUAGGCAGUGAGUUCACCCUCCAGGGCCCGGCCCCCCAACAAUUUUGCCUUCUCUUCCUGGGUCACCUGAGGUUUUCCCCAAAGCUCCCUUUUGCUCUCAGCCUUGUCCCCCUGACCAGACUCGGAAGGAAGCACGUACAAUUCCCAGUAGAGCUAACGGGUGGGAAACACAUUGCCAUAAAGUGGCGGUUCUGGGGCCCUUAGGCUGCCUGGCCCUGGAAUGUCACCCAGGAGCGGUGAUCCCUUCUAGGAUCUGCAGUGAUAGAUUAAGUGAGGCAGGCUACGCAGCACCUGGGAAAAAAUCCAGUCUGCUGGGUGUGUCCCUCUCAGGAUCUGGGGCCAAACACCUGGGUGUUUACGCCAGGAUGAUUGAGUGAAAUUCUUGCAGGAGCGGCGCCAACAGGGAGCCUCGGGCAUCUGUCCUUGUCCCGUAACACCCCCACUCCAUCCCCACGCCCACCAAGAUUCAUUACUGUGGGACUAGAAUAAGCAGGAGACCCCUACUUAGUGCCCUUCCCCUACCUCCUUCAGGAUGCUGAUGCGACCCGUUUCCAGAAUCCUAUCUAAGGUCUGCUUCCCGCACUAGGUGGACAGUGAGGAAAGGGACACGGAGACUUCAGACUUCAGGGUUGGCCCCUCCCCGAGGCAGGCAGACUUAUAGAAGAUUCCUUCCACCCGCCUGUGUCCUAACUGAAGCUAUUGCCUCUUAAGUCCUACUGUUCACUAAGAUAGAGCACCGGUGCUGGGGCUGCCUGCCGCUGGGGCUUUCUUUCGGAGCUCGUCACUGGCUGAGGUCAUCUUGCAGGUGCUUCAUUCCUAGGCUUGCCAGGAAGGUGAACUCCCCUCCCCCUCCCAAGGGCGGUUCCACCGAGGGAGCUAAGCUUGGGAACCGUAAGGUUCCAAAAGGCCGAGGCACACAGCAGGACACCGCUUACACUUCAGAGUGCCAAGUGACAAAGGGAACAGAAAGAGCUUGCUGAGCUUACAGUACCUCAGAGCCACUCACAUGCAAAGAAGCUAGAGGCCGGAGGAGAGCAGAAGGGUGGUGGGAACGCCAGCAGUGGCGACUCCAGGGACACCUUUCCUUUUUCAUCUAGUGCCCCCUGGUGGCAGAAUCUAUCAGGAUGCCAGCCGAUUAGCGGGCGUGGGGGCUGGGAGGGGGACGGGACGAUUCCUGUUGCACCGGCAAAGGGCAGUGAUUUGAAGUUGGGCAAUAGCUGCCUCUUGAGAGUCUUCACUGAUAAGGCCAUGCCUCCAUCCAGACUUAGAUGAAACAUUCCAGAAUUCGUUAAGGCCAGCCCCACCUAAGCACAGAGUGUGUUCCGAGAACGGCGUCCAUCACAGUUCCCAGCGCACAUCAGGAGCCAGAUCUCCGAGCAAGUAAAUCAGUUCAGACAGUCGCUGUGCAGGCAGAGUUGGAAACGUCUUGACCCUGGAGCUUAUGUUCCAAGGGAUACUUACCUCUUUAAGAGAAGGCAAGGCUGUCUCCCUCCCGUAGUACCCUGCCCCUCCCCUAGGCCUCUGAAACCUGAUCUAAUCCCUUUGCACGCGGGUAAUUUAUUGGUCUAUUGGGCUUUUCUUGGUGGCAAAUUACAUUGUCUUUAUUCCUAGGCUCUGGCCCCGGAGUGCCUCGAGGAAUUCCUAAGACUCCUUUCUCAUGGUUGAUCCUUCACACCCCCUCUGGGCCCCGGCAAAAUAAGUUUUAUUGGGAUGCUUUGUCAUGCAAACAGGGUGGUAAUAAGCAGGCUAUUAUUCCGAAAGAUUGGGCUUGAUUAACAGCUCAAAGGAGGACUUGAGAACAAACGGAUCUGUUGCUGUACUAGCAGAGCAGAUUUUUUUUUCCUUAUCAUGCGGGUCCAUUUAGUAUUCUGAGAUCCUGCUUUGACUUUCUGCCUCCCAGAGGGGUUGCCAUCCACCGAAAAGUAAUGACAUCUGAGCCUGAGCCAUGUGGCUCAAUCCAAUUGGGAGGCACUGUGGAGCUCUACCUUUAAAAUGUGAGUGGCCAGCUAUGAGCGCAUACAUGCUCCCUGAACCCUGGAUACAUGGGAGACCCAGGGUUCCACCAGACAGAGUUGGACACAGGUGGGGUUGGGCGGGGCGCGGUGUACGCAUGACAUCUGAAGUCUCAAAAGAUGCUUUCAGUGUGAGUGCUGUUCUCGGAACACACUCUAUGCUUAGGCGGGGCUAGCCUUACAAAUUCUGGAAUGUUGCAUGAUGGUAUCAGCAAAGAUUAUCAAGAGGUGCAAUUCACCGGGUAGUGUGAGAGUCAACAGGGACCCAAGAAGCUUCCUCAGCCCCACAGUGAUUAGAAAUAGAAGAACUGAGUGAGAGAAAGACAGAAUCAAGAUGAGGAGGGCCUGUUUAUGGGAGAUUGAUGGACCGAUGCGGGAAAGAUGUGUCCUGUAGCCACCUUCCUGAGGCCCUGAAUGAAGCUGGCCAGGUUACUCAAGGCUCCCAGAGGAGCAGCUGCCAGAGAAGGUAGCACGGAGAAGGAAGCCUGGGGCACCUCUGUGUAUAUCAGAUACCGAAAGUGGGGUGGGGCCAUUACAUUUUAGCCUAGAUCUGGGGGGUUCUACAGGAGGGCACGGAAAGAACUCCCCGAGAAGCAGCUGGAAGCAUCCGGGACAGGAAGCACCCUUUCUGCCCUAGCGAUUUUAGGACAUGUUCAGGGGGUUCCUGUGGGUGAGUCCAGACAGGGCCACCGUUUCUGCAGGCCUAUGGACUCUCUUGGUCCAGAUAUCAUUCUCAAGAUUAUAGCUGAAGAUUGGAGGGUUAAUGAUAGUUCAAGACAAACAGUGCCUUCGGCUGAGCUUGUGAAGGGGGCCAAGAUCCGUGAGGCACCUUUGUACUUAGAUGAGGUAAUUCUCCAGGUCCCAGGUCGUGAGAGUCAAAGGGGACCCCAGGAGGUUCCUCAGCCCCAGAAUGAUUAGAAAUAGAAAAACAGGGUUGCUGAAUGGCUCAGAAGGGUGAAGGGGCUUGCCACCAAUACUAACCACCUGAGUUAGUCCCACAACCCACGUGGUAGGAGACCGAUUCCUACAGGCUGUUCUCAAACCUCCACAUACGUGCUAUGGGAUAUACACGUGCACACAUCCAUGCCUGCAUAAUACACACACACACACACACACACAUGUAAAAAGUAUUUUUUUAAAAAAGAAAUAGGAAAGCCGGGCAAUGGUGGCGCAUGCCUUUAAUCUCAUCACAUGGGAGGCAGAGGCAGGUGGAUUUCUGAGUUUGAGGCCAGCCUGGUCUACAGAGUGAGUUCCAGGACAGCCAGGACUACACAGAGAAACCCUGUCUCGAAAAACCAAAAAAAAAAAACAAAAAACAAAAAAAAAAACAAAAAAACCAAACAAACAAACAAGGGGGGGGGGGAGGAAUGAAAGAAAGAAAGAAAGAAAGAAGGAAGGAAGGAAGGAAGGAAAGAAAGAAAGAAAGAAAGAAAGAAAGAAAGAAAGAAAGAAAGAAAGAAAGAAAGAAAGAGGAAAAUGUUUGAGAUUCUAAUCAUGUCCACUCUGGGCCUAUUGGCUAUCAAGUGAGGUGAAUGCCACUCUCUUGUGUGUAAUGCCCAGAAAAAGAGCGUUAGCCUGCCACUGUGGGGCAGUGAGCAUCCUCCUGCCAAGCAGAAAGCGUUCAGGGCUGGCUCUCCUUUGUUGGCACAAGCUGCUGUAACUGCUAUAAGAUGUGUCACACACUGGAGCAAUGUGUGCAUGAACACUGGCCUCAGAAGGCCCAGUUUACUGCCUGAAAUCCUUUAAACAAAAAAAGAAAGAGAAGGAAAGGAAAGGAAAGAAAAGGAAAGGAAAGGAAAGAAAAGAAAAGAAAAGAAAAGAAAAGAAAAGAAAAGAAAAGAAAAGAAAAGAAAAGAAAAGAAAAAUAUAUAGCACAUUAAAUAAACAAAACAAAACCAACCCGGCCUUUUGGGGAUUUCUGGUAGGGGGACCCUGCAGCUUUUGAUUUUGAUGCUGGGCCCGGUUGCCUAUAGGUUCCUGACCACUAAGCAGCCUGCAGUUGGUGGCUUAGUGCAGUGGACAUGGGGAGCAAGGUGAGGCCUCUGUAGAGUAGAGGGCAGGGGCCUCUCAACUUACGGCCUAUGAGGACAAUCCAGCCUUGGCAUCUCUGAGGUCCCUCCCCAAGGCCCUUAAGGAAGGACAGCUGUAUAUAUAUCACUUCAGACUGACAGACCACAGAGUCAGGUUACCAUCUGAAGAAGUAGCAGAGGGCACUCACUGGGCACAGCCACUUCUGGCCCCAACUUAUCACUGUCAGUAUCAUCUUGCAAACUGCUGCCUUGCUCUGAGCUGAGUUCCACAGUUCAGCCUUUUUCUGAAGUUCCAGUGAGGACCCACAGGGCUAGUUUAAGGUCUCAGAGCAAUGGGGAGGGCAGCAGGGAAUUCUCAAGAGUCAGAGAUAGGUCAUUUCUCAGCGGCAGCUGUGUCCAGCAGCCCUCCACAAGCCUUUCAGCUGGAGGCAUGGGACACAGAAUCAAUUUGUACUGUGACAGCAGAACCAGGCAGGGCCACAGACCUUAGCAUUUGGGACAUUGGGGAACUGACCAUCUCAGAUGGUUUCUUGGGGGAAAGGCUUGUAGUGAGUGCAUUGACAUGAGGCUGAAGAGACACCUCAGUAGAUAAAGUGCUUGCUGUGUGAACUUGAGAGCCUGAGCUCGCUUGGGCCCUAAGCACUCACUCAACAGUCAGGCACGGUAGCGCAGGUCCACAUGUCCACCCCAGACCCGGGAGCCUGAGAACAGGUCAAUCCUGAGGGCUUGCUGGUUAGCCAGUUCAGCCCUAACCACAAACUCUAGGUUCAGAGAGAGACCUUGUCUCAAAAAAAUAAGAUAGAGGCCCUGACAUCAACCUCUGUACAACACACACACACACACACACACACACACACACGAAUGUGGAUAGAGAGGGGCAAAACCUGCAUACCCCCACACAGAGAAAAAGAGAGAAAGAAAAGCUCAGAAGCAGUCCCAACACCAGUGCACAUCUAAGUGGCUUUGUGACUCAGGGCAGCUCCACCCCUCCCCCCAGGCCUCCCACUGGUAAAAUGAAGGUGAAAAUUCCUGCCCCCAGGGGAGUAGUGAAGGCCAGAGAUGAAAGCAGUUUGCUUUUGAGCGGGAACUGAGAGCUGUGGUUACAUCCCGCCUAUGUCAAGGAACUUAAGGAGAAAGCCAUUCCAGGCCUCUGCACCUUGUUGCCUGUCUGUUGAGGGGAACAUUAAGUCCUGAGAGCAUUGCAGAAUUAGAGGCAAUGUGCACACAUCUGGCGCGUGAUAGGUCUUCAGGUCACAUUAGUAGUGCUCAUGACAGUUAAACAAAGUUAACAGCACAAAAUUCUCUUUUAUGGGGCCACUUCCUUGAGUUCUGCAGGCUUUGCUUAGUCAGGACUUCUAGCCCUGCCCCACCUCAUUUCAUGAGUUUGGGGCUCAAGGAUACUUGCCCCAAACCCAAAAUGCCCCCCCCAGGCAUGGUCCCCAUUUUUUGAGACUAACUAGGUAUAUAGCCUGCAAUGCAAAUCUGUCACUUGCUGUUUGCUGACACUCAGUCUCCCCUGAGUCUCUCUGAGUGGAGAAAUUACAAGUGCUUCUCCCCCCACCCCACCCCACCCCACCCCACCCCCCAUUUUUCUUUCUUGCACAGAAUCCAAAGUUUCUUCAUUUGCUGCCUAGCAAGGACAAAAUAGACUGGACAAGUUCAGGAGCUAGCCCUUCGGACCAUUCCAUCCUCCAAGAAGUGUCUCGUGUGGGGGCGGGGUAAAGCAUUAACUGUGUGCCCCAAUCAGGCUGGGGCCUAGGUCACCCAAGCGGGAGGGGCAGGAGUCACCAGGCAGAGAGGCAAGAGCUUACUUACCACUUCUUGAUCAAUAAAUACCCUGGCUUUCUGCAGAGCCAAGGGAACCAU